GCUUCUUGCACCUCCUUAAUCACCUGGGCUGAGUCAGUGCACCCGAACAUGGGCAGCUUCCACAUGGUCCAGUACCUUCCGUCGUAGUAUCCUGGCGAUCUGUUGUGCUCUCUGUGGGGGUAUGGGUACUGCAUUCACAUACAAAAUAAUAAUCCAAUUAUUCUACAAAUUAAACCUCUAUAAUCCUAGUUUAAAAGCUUCACAGAAAAGUUCAUGAAAAUAACCAGCUUGGUGAAUUCCAAGCAAGGAAUCCAUUUCAUGCGGAGAAGGUAAUCCACUUCCUUGCAUAGCUGUUCGUCGUUGAGGGGUGGGAGGUAUGAGAGAGUCUCGAACUUCAUCAACCCUUCUGUAGGCCAAACCUGUGGUUUUCACAUGUACAAUAUCCACAGUUUAAUUCAUCAUAUAUAAAAAAAUAAAAAAUAAAAAAAACCCAGACUACUAAUGUCUUCUAAUUGAAGUGAAGUUGUGACUUGUGAGGCAGGGUGGUGGCAGUACCUUCAUGCAGCGAACUCGGCCACCAUUGCUAGCGACGGAGGUGAUGUCGGUGUUGGCUUUUCGGGUGCCAGGGAAAGUCGACAAAGAUUUGAGUCCGGUGAAGGGGGCCACCAUGUUGGCCUGAGCCGGGGUAGCACGGUUGAUUGUAGCCACGGUGGCGGAGGAGACCAUGGAGGAAGCCAUUUUCGCCUUUUGGGUUUUGCUAACACCACCACUGCCUU
RNAcentral lists this long non-coding RNA (716 nucleotides) under Vitis vinifera (wine grape). RNAcentral describes it as "long non-coding RNA (VVIN_LNC005659)". The record is from RNAcentral. Lineage: Eukaryota; Viridiplantae; Streptophyta; Magnoliopsida; Vitales; Vitaceae.